AUAGAACUCAAUGGCAUCAUCGUAGUUUUCUACGACAAGUGCGAUAUUGCCGAUUUGCUGUUGAACGACUUUAGACAUGCUGAUUUCUCAAGAUUUCAAAAGCCGGAUUCUACACUACUUCGAGAUUUUU
This 130-nucleotide small RNA is filed under the name Vibrio cholerae O1 biovar El Tor str. N16961. Lineage: Bacteria; Pseudomonadati; Pseudomonadota; Gammaproteobacteria; Vibrionales; Vibrionaceae. The record is from RNAcentral.